CUUUGGGUAUCUACAGUGCCCCGGCCUUCAUCACAGGUGGUCUGCCGUGGACUGGGUGGGCCAGCUUGAAGGCCUUCUGUGCCUCCCACAUGGACAGACACGUAGAGACUUGUAGCCCAUGCCUCCUUCCUGCUGUCUCCUGGCUGUUCAUGUAUCUCUUACUUAGGAGCCAUCAGUGACUCGUCAUUGCUGUCAGUGUGACUUCCCAGCCACUGUUGAGUCUGUCUCCUACUCCAUGGUCAUCUCAGCGUUGCCCUUGGCGAUGCCCACAUCUGAGACCUCAGAUGUCAAGACUGGAGUGAAAACGCCUUCACUACCACCUCUGCCGAGAGUAGCAACACCUCAAGGUGCCAAAGAGAUGUCCAGCCAGCCAGCAUGGAGCUGCCGUGUGAAUUUCUGUCCAGAAGCUCCAGCUCCUGUUGGCUCUCGUGUCAAGUGGCAAGCUCCCCUCCUGGGAUGCAUGAGUGAGGAAGAAAU
This is a non-coding RNA of Microcebus murinus (gray mouse lemur), 477 nucleotides long. NCBI's taxonomy places the organism in Eukaryota, Metazoa, Chordata, Mammalia, Primates, Cheirogaleidae. The record is from RefSeq and is a predicted model, not a curated record.